RNAcentral lists this small nuclear RNA (313 nucleotides) under Erinaceus europaeus (western European hedgehog). RNAcentral describes it as "7SK RNA". It matches the Rfam family "7SK RNA". Rfam says of the family: 7SK was discovered as an abundant small nuclear RNA in the mid-70s but a possible function has only recently been suggested. The record is from Rfam by way of RNAcentral. Lineage: Eukaryota; Metazoa; Chordata; Mammalia; Eulipotyphla; Erinaceidae.
GGAUAUGAGGGCGUUCUGGCUGUGGUAUCUGCCAACCCACUGAUCGCCAGGGUUAAUUUGACUGAUCUGGCUGGCUAGGCAGAUGUCUCAUUUCUCCCUCACCACUCCAUGUGCCUCCCUUCUGAAGCUGCCUGUGUGCUGGGUCAAAGAGGACUGACUGCCUUCCCUGAAUAGAAACUGACCAGUCUUCAGUAUAGAGUAUAUGAGUAGCUAUGCUCCCCUGCUAGAACCUCCAAACAAGCUCUCAAGCUUUUAGUGACCAUGAUGUAACCAUUUUCCAUUUUAGGAUUUAUGGGAUAAACACACAGACAGU